AGUGAACGCUGGCGGUAGGCCUAACACAUGCAAGUCGAACGGCAGCACAGUAAGAGCUUGCUCUUACGGGUGGCGAGUGGCGGACGGGUGAGGAAUACAUCGGAAUCUACUUUUUCGUGGGGGAUAACGUAGGGAAACUUACGCUAAUACCGCAUACGACCUCCGGGUGAAAGCAGGGGAUCUUCGGACCUUGCGCGAUUGAAUGAGCCGAUGUCGGAUUAGCUAGUUGGCGGGGUAAAGGCCCACCAAGGCGACGAUCCGUAGCUGGUCUGAGAGGAUGAUCAGCCACACUGGAACUGAGACACGGUCCAGACUCCUACGGGAGGCAGCAGUGGGGAAUAUUGGACGAUGGGCGCAAGCCUGAUCCAGCCAUACCGCGUGGGUGAAGAAGGCCUUCGGGUUGUAAAGCCCUUUUGUUGUGAAAGAACAGCAGCAGGUUAAUACCCCGCUGUUCUGACGGUACCCAAAGAAUAAGCACCGGCUAACUUCGUG
This 492-nucleotide ribosomal RNA is filed under the name uncultured bacterium. RNAcentral describes it as "partial 16S ribosomal RNA". It matches the Rfam family "Bacterial small subunit ribosomal RNA", at positions 29 to 507 of the family's 1533-position model. The record is from RNAcentral.